This 72-nucleotide transfer RNA is filed under the name Camelus bactrianus (Bactrian camel). It matches the Rfam family "tRNA". From Rfam's summary of the family: Transfer RNA (tRNA) molecules are approximately 80 nucleotides in length. Their secondary structure includes four short double-helical elements and three loops (D, anti-codon, and T loops). The record is from Rfam by way of RNAcentral. Lineage: Eukaryota; Metazoa; Chordata; Mammalia; Artiodactyla; Camelidae. RNAcentral also lists the same sequence under 2 other names.
GAGGGGAUAGCUCAGUGGCAGAGCACAUGCUUAGCACGCACAAGGUCUUGGGUUUGAUCCCCAGUACCACCA